GAAAUUCUCAAAGCAAGUCUUUUGUUAAUUCAAUUGGCUUUGCUUUGGACUUGGAGGUCUGCAGAUCAAAACUCUGCUCCUCUUAAAUGUAUUAGCUGGAUCUCCAUGAACUUGGUUCCACUCGGCGUGAUAAGUUAUCACUCGCUGAGGACACCCGUAAAAAAGGUGGCCAGGCCCUAGGAUGAGCCGCUUCUAAUAGUCCAUUAGCUUGGACAAAUUAAAUUUCUGAUCUGAUCUCAAAUUCAGGUAGGACUACCCCGCUGAACUUAA
Molecule: unclassified non-coding RNA, 270 nt
Filed under: Ceratobasidium sp. AG-Ba
Lineage: Eukaryota; Fungi; Basidiomycota; Agaricomycetes; Cantharellales; Ceratobasidiaceae
Description: ITS2
Source: RNAcentral